AAUUCGCCCGCGUUAGCGAUUGGAACGGCAUCCUUUUUAUUUUUCAUAAAAAGAUAUAGUGGAAAGCGCGACCCUAG
This 77-nucleotide small RNA is filed under the name Polaribacter atrinae. RNAcentral's name for it is "Flavo-1 RNA". It matches the Rfam family "Flavo-1 RNA". Lineage: Bacteria; Pseudomonadati; Bacteroidota; Flavobacteriia; Flavobacteriales; Flavobacteriaceae. The record is from Rfam by way of RNAcentral.